AGAGUUUGAUCCUGGCUCAGGACGAACGCUGGCGGCGUGCUUAACACAUGCAAGUCGAACGAAGAGCGAUGGAAGCUUGCUUCUAUCAAUCUUAGUGGCGAACGGGUGAGUAACGCGUAAUCAACCUGCCCUUCAGAGGGGGACAACAGUUGGAAACGACUGCUAAUACCGCAUACGAUCUAAUCUCGGCAUCGAGGAUAGAUGAAAGGUGGCCUCUACAUGUAAGCUAUCACUGAAGGAGGGGAUUGCGUCUGAUUAGCUAGUUGGAGGGGUAACGGCCCACCAAGGCGAUGAUCAGUAGCCGGUCUGAGAGGAUGAACGGCCACAUUGGGACUGAGACACGGCCCAGACUCCUACGGGAGGCAGCAGUGGGGAAUCUUCCGCAAUGGACGAAAGUCUGACGGAGCAACGCCGCGUGAGUGAUGACGGCCUUCGGGUUGUAAAGCUCUGUUAAUCGGGACGAAAGGCCUUCUUGCGAAUAGUGAGAAGGAUUGACGGUACCGGAAUAGAAAGCCACGGCUAA
RNAcentral lists this ribosomal RNA (523 nucleotides) under Veillonella sp. oral clone BP2-15. RNAcentral describes it as "bacterial SSU rRNA". It matches the Rfam family "Bacterial small subunit ribosomal RNA", at positions 8 to 500 of the family's 1533-position model. The record is from RNAcentral. Lineage: Bacteria; Bacillati; Bacillota; Negativicutes; Veillonellales; Veillonellaceae.